This 1841-nucleotide long non-coding RNA is filed under the name Mytilus galloprovincialis (Mediterranean mussel). Lineage: Eukaryota; Metazoa; Mollusca; Bivalvia; Mytilida; Mytilidae. The record is from RNAcentral.
AAAUGUUCUACGGCAAUACUUUUGUCUGCACUAGUUGCAAAGGGAAGCUAAGUAGCUGAGGUCUACUUGAGAAAAAAUCAAGGGUGUUGUUCGGCUUAGUUUUGUUUUUAAGUAGGUCCACAGUUGGGGUUGGACACCCUAACCCACCCUUACAGAAAAGUUAAUUAAACAUGUUCUACGGCAAUUACAUUUGUAAGCACUAGGUGCAAAGGGAAGCUUGGCAGCUGAGUUCUACUUGAGAAAAAAUUCAGGGUUUUUUUUGGCUUAGUUUUGUUUGUAAGUAUGUCCACAGUUGAUGUCGGACACCUUAACCCACCCUAACAGAAAAGUUAAUUAAAAAUGUUCUACGACAAUACUUUUGUCUGCACUAGGUGCAAAGGGAAGCAACGAACUGGGGUAUACUUGAGAAAAACUCCAGGGUCUUCGUCGGCUUAGUUUUGUUUUUAAGGAGGUCCACAUUUGGGUUCGGACACCCUAACCCACACUUACAGAACAGUUAAUAACAAAUGUUCUCCGGCAAUACUUUUGUACGCACUAGGUCGAAAGGGAAGCAGGGUAGCUGAUGUCUACUUGAUAAAAAGUCCAGGGUGUUGUUCGGCUUAUUUUUUUUUUUACUAGGUCCAAAGUUGGGGUCGGACAUCCUAUCCCACCCUUACAGAAAAUUUAAUAAAACAUGUUCUACGGCAAUACUUUUGUCUGCACUAGCUAUAUAGGUGCAAAAGGAAGCUGGGCAGCUGAGGUCUACUUGAAAAAAAAUCAAGGGUGUUGUUCGGCUUAGUUUUGUUUUUAAGUAGGUCCACAGUUGGGGUCGGACACCCUGACCCACCCUUACAGAAAAGUUAAUUAAAAAUAUUCUACGGCAAUGCCUUUGUCUGCACUAGUUGCAAAGGGAAGCUAACUAGCUGAGGUCUACUUAAGAAAAAAUCCAGGGUGUUGUUCGGCUUAAUUUCUUUUUUUUUAACUAGGUCCAAAGUUUAGGUAGGACACCCUAUCCCACCCUUACAGAAAAGUCUAUAAAACAUGUUCUACGGCAAUACUUUUGUCUGCACUAGCUAUAUAGGUGCACAGGGAAGCUGGGUAGCUGAUGUCUACUUGAUAAAAAAUCCAGGGUGUUGUUCGGCUUAGUUUUGUGUGUAAGUAGGUCCACAGUUGGGGUCGGACACCCUAACCUACAUUUACAGAAAAGUUAAUUAAAAAUGUUCUACGACAAUAUUUUUGUCUGCACAAAGUUGCAAAGGGAAGCUACCUAACUGAGGUCUACUUGAGAAAAAAUCCAGGGUGUUGUUCGGCUUAAUUUUUUGAACUAGGUCCAAAGUUUGGGUCGGACACCCUAUUCCACCCUUACAGAAAGGUUAAUAAAACGUGUUCUACGGCAACACUUUUGUCUGCACUAGCUAUAUAGGUGCAAAUGGAAGCAUGGCAGCUGAGGUGUACUUGAGAAAAAUUCAAGGGUGUUGUUCGGCCUAGUUUUGUUUUUAAGUAGGUCCACAGUUGGGGUCGGCGACCCUAACCCACCCUUACAGAAAAGUUAAUUAAAAAUGUUCUACGGCAAUACUUUUGUCUGCACUAGUUGCACAAGGGAAGCUAAGUAGCUGAGUGUUACUUGAGAAAAAAUCAAGGGUGUUGUUCGGCUUAGUUUUGUUUUUAAGUAGGUCCACAGUUGGGGUCGGACACCCUAACCCACCCUUACAGAAAAAUUAAUUAAACAUGUUCUCCGGCAUUACAGUUGUAAGCACUAGGUGCAAAGGGAAGCUUGGCAGCUGAGUUCUACUUGAGAAAAAAUUCAGGGUUUUUUUUUAUCUUAGUUUUGUUUGUAAGUAUGUCCACAGUUGAUGUCGGAC